Molecule: RNA transcript, 4180 nt
Organism: Oncorhynchus keta (chum salmon)
Lineage: Eukaryota; Metazoa; Chordata; Actinopteri; Salmoniformes; Salmonidae
Gene name: mitogen-activated protein kinase 6-like
Exons: 6
Source: RefSeq, a predicted model, not a curated record
GUAUUUGAGACCCUUGGGCCCAGCGGUCGUCACCUAACAGAGGACAUAGUCUCUCUGACAGAGGUGAACUCUGUGUACAUCGUCCAGGAGUACAUGGAGACAGACCUGUGUCAGCUCCUGGAGAGGGGUCUCCUCUCUGAGGAUCACGCCAGACUCUUCAUGUACCAGCUGCUGAGAGGCCUCAAGUACAUCCACUCUGCCAACGUACUGCACAGAGACCUGAAGCCUGCCAACUUGUUCGUCAACACAGAGGACCUGGUGCUGAAGAUAGGAGACUUUGGACUGGCCGGAUCAUGGAUCCUCACUACUCACACAAGGGUCAUCUUUCUGAGGGCUUGGUGACUAAAUGGUACCGGUCUCCUCGCCUGCUGCUCUCUCCUAACAACUACACCAAGGCCAUUGACAUGUGGGCUGCCGGAUGCAUCUUCACCGAGAUGCUCACCGGGAAAACGCUCUUCGCAGGAGCCCAUGAACUGGAGCAGAUGCAGCUGAUCCUGGAGUCCAUCCCUGUGCUGAGAGAAGAGGACAGGCAGGAGUUACACAGUGUUAUCCCCGUCUUCAUACACGGUGACAUGUCCCAGCCGCACAACCCACUGGCCAAGCUACUGCCCGACGUCAGCCCACAGGCCCUGGAUUUCCUGCAAAAGAUCCUGACCUUUAACCCCAUGGACCGUCUGACAGCAGAAGAAGCCCUAGCCCACCCUUACAUGUCUGACUACUCCUUCCCCCUGGACGAACCCGUCUCGCUGCACCCCUUCCACAUAGAGGAUGAGGUGGAUGAUAUCUUACUGAUGGACCAGGGUCACAGCCACACCUGGGACAGCAGGUACCGUGACAGCCAGCUUUCAGAAGGGGACUGGCACCUCCACACCCACAGCAUUCUGGACACUGACGAGGUACAGGUGGACCCUCGGGCUCUGUCUGACCAAACUGACGAGGAGGAGGUUCAGGUGGACCCUCGUAAGUAUGCAGACGGAGACCGGGAGUUCCUGGACGGUCCUUCCUACGGCUACUCCUCCCUCUUCACUCCCGAACGCUCGUGGCCCGACCCCGAUGACGAACACUUCGACCUUCACCACGAGAACAAGUACUGUGACCUGGAGUGUUCCCACACCUGUAACUACAAGGUGGUGUCUCCGUCCUACCUGGAUAACCUGAUCUGGAGGGACAGCGAGGUCAACCACUACUACGAGCCCAAGCUCAUUAUAGAUCUGUCCAACUGGAAGGAGCAGCAGAGUAAAGAGAAACAGGCUCAGGCUGCAGGCAGAGACAAGGAGCACAAGGCCCAGAAGAGCAAGUGUGAGAAGAACGGCCUGGUGAAGGCUCAGAUGGUUCUACAGGUAGAGAAGGGCCCGGUGGAGAAGGACUCCCAGCAAGAGAAGAACCAGACCCAGACUACUCAACAGAAUCAAGGCUUUGACUUUGACUCCUUCAUCGCCGGCACCAUCAAACUGAGCCUGCGAACUGAGCCCAGCGACGUGGGACUCCUGGGGGACGUGGGCCUCCUGAGCGAGGUGGGAGUGGGCCUCCUGAGCGAGGUGGGCCUCCUGAACGAGCUCAACUCCUCUGUGUCCCAGCUGGAGGCUCCGCGGUCAGGCUCCAUGUCCAAAACCAUCAGCCAGGAGAAGGAGGAGAAGUGCCUGGUGAACUUUGCUCAGGUCAGCAUCACCGUGGGGACCGCUGGGCCUGGGGUGCGUCCCGCACACCCCUGGGAGAGCUUCGGAGGAGGGGAGAGGGUGGAGGAGCGGAGAGGUGGGUGUCUGAUGGACGGGGCGGGGCGCUGGGACGUUGGGAAAGAAGAGCAGCUCCAGAAGGAAAGCUGCUACACCAGCUACCUGGACAGACUGUUCAGCAGGAAGGACGAGGGCAGCGGGGAGAGUGCUGCUAGCGCCGCCGACACCCCAGAACCUGAGCCCUCGGAUGUGGGAGUGGAGAGGGAACGGGACGAGGCGGGCUUCCUGGCGCGGAGUGGAGAAAUCAUGUUUAACAUGCAGCUGGACUCUCUGGCGCUGCCGGGAUUCGAUGCUACGACCGACGUGCCGGUCAAAUCCAUCCAGGCCUCCCUCGCUCCCUCCACGGUCAAAUGCUCGCCUCAGAUCGCCCACACAACCUACAGCAGCUUCUUCAAGCAUCUGAAUUAAAAAAAACAAAUGAUACCCCAUACCAUGUUCCUCACAGUGCGAGAUCUCUAGGCUGGUUCUGUUCUGUUGUCCUUGUAUUUGAUUUCAUUAUGAUAGUGAUGUUAUUUUACUUGAAUCAUUUCAUACCAGAUCGUAUGGCUCCUUUUUUUUUAAAUUUUUUUUUUUUUAAAUAUCAACUUUUAUUUUGUAUUAUUUGUUUUGUUUGUUUUGUUGUUGUAGGAGUUAAAGGUAAAAUAGACUGGGCUGAAAAGUUGCCAGCAGAUCAAACAUCACAGUUAUUACCUCCGGGGUCACUGACCCCCUACCUGAGUCGAUCUCCCCAAUUCUCCCUCAGCAUUCACCAACUGGCAGCAUUUACACUGCACACUGAGUACUGGAGACUAGAAGGAGAGGAGACAAGGAAUGGGGAAGAGAGAAGGAAGGUGGAGAAUUGGACAGUGGGAGAUAUAUGGAGGGAUAUGAGAAGUGGUGCGAUGCUAAGCAGAACAGCCCUGUUGAUCCUGCAGCCUUUUUCCCCCUGAGCUCAUCACUGAUCUAAGACCUGUGGCUGAAUAAGUGAAAGGAAGGUUUGCACCCUAUCACUUAAACCAAUCAGACCCUCUCCGAUCAGUCAUGUGGUCAACACAGGAAGAGGUGUAUAGAAAUCACAGCUUUGUAUCUGUGCCAUUCUGGUGUCUGUGACAGCAUGGCCAGUGCCAUUGAGGCUAUCUCCAUUUUAAAGUACUCUAUUUUCUUCUUCUUUUGAUGUUUGAAGAGUGUCUAACGCUAAUAUUGUUGACUUUACCGCCACCUGCAGUCUUCGAGUCUUGAAACCAAAUCGUGUUAUUAAUUUAGUGGCCACUAGAUGGCGGUCAUAUAGCUUAAAGCCAUUUACAAACUAGGCAAACCAAUUUGAAGAAGACAAAUGCUCUGCUGAUCGCUCCCAACCCAUAGGAAUCCCCACCCAGUUCAAUACUUUAAAAUGGUGGAAGCCCUCAAUGGAAAUGUCCAAUGCAAAAACAGGUUAUUUCCAAGUAAUGAUCUCUACAUCUCCAUGGGAGGAAGGAUAAAUAUCUUAACAGAGCCAAUGUGAGAAGAUGGGAGGGCAUUGUGAACUAAAGGAGAGAGGUGUAUUGUGGGAGACGUAGUCAUGCUGACAUCACAAUCGCUGUAGGUCUUUUCACUAGGGAGGGGGGGACAGGCUUUUCUUUAAAAAAAAAAUUAAAAAGAGGUUUUAUUUGAAAAUGUACUUUAAUUAUUUUUACCAAGUGUUUUAAUUUAUUUCUGUAUAAUAUCCCAAAAGAGGCUUCCUGAAACCCCCUCAUUUCAUACUGUAGUUUGUUUGACACAUGAUGCCAGCAGCGAACCAUUACUCCUGGACCUUUUGUGAAUGUGUUAUCUACCUCAAGGUAACAGCAGCGAGAGACAUUCGAAGCCGCACUAGUGCUUUACACACACACACACCACACACACACUACCAUCCUCAUACACACACACCACACACACACUACCAUCCUCAUACACACACAACACACACUACCAUCCUCAUACACACACACAACACACACUACCAUCCUCAUACACACACACACACACGCGCGCACUACCAUCCUCAUACACACACACACCACACACACUACCAUCCUCAUACACACCACACACACUACCAUCCUCAUACACACCACACACACUACCAUCCUCAUACACACACCACACACACACUACCAUCCUCAUACACACACCACACACACACUACCAUCCUCAUACACACACCACACACACACUACCAUCCUCAUACACAACACACAGUACCAUCCUCAUACACACACACUCUCUCACUACCAUCCUCAUACACACACACACACAACACAUACUACCAUCCUCAUACACACACACACACACACACACAACACACACUACCAUCUUCAUACACACACACACGCACUCUCACUACCAUCCUCAUACACACACACACGCACUCUCUCACUACCAUCCUCAUACACACACACACGCACUCUCUCACUACCAUCCUCAUACACACACACACACUCUCUCACUAC